Balaenoptera musculus (blue whale) is the source of this 652-nucleotide long non-coding RNA. RefSeq lists it as uncharacterized. Lineage: Eukaryota; Metazoa; Chordata; Mammalia; Artiodactyla; Balaenopteridae. The transcript has 6 exons. The record is from RefSeq and is a predicted model, not a curated record.
UUCUGCCUCAGACUAAAGAUUGAGCUUUCUCUUUUAACAAAAUAGAAAGUAUUGAAAGAAAAAAUAAUAACUACCUAAAUACUGAGUAAAUGAAAUUUGGAAAAUAAGGAUCAUUGGCAAUUAGGUCUGAAUAUUUGUAUCAUCUCCUGUGUUCUGUACUCCUCAGAAUGAAGGCAAUAGAGAUGAUUUAGCAUCUUUCAUGGGCAUGAGCUCUGUGCUUGCCUCUGAAUAGUAGGAGGAUGGAGAUUAAUGAUGGAUGUUCCUGCUAUUUCAGCUUCUGCUGUGCUCACUUGUCACACCGCCCCUGUGUCAGGAAGGAAACUAAGAAUGAAGGCAGUAGAGAUGAUUUAGCAUCUUCCAAGGACAGGAGCUCUGGUUGCCUCUGUAUAAUAGGAGGAUGGAGAUUAAUAGUGAAUGCACUGGACCAGAAAUGAGGAUUCUUCCUCGAGUGCCAGCCUAGGAUGGCAUCUUGGUUGUAAGAGCCAGGACACCCAUGAUGGAUGUUCCUGCUAUUUCAGCUUCUGCUGUGCUCACUUGUCACACCGCCCCUGUGUCAGGAAGGAAACUAAGAAUGAAGGCAGUAGAGCUGAUUUAGCAUCUUCCAAGGACAGGAGCUCUGGUUGCCUCUGUAUAAUAGGAGGCUGGAGAUUAA